CUCGAUAACAACAUACUUCCGUGUUGCAUGUUAGAGGUUUGUUUCUUUUUUAUUUACAUUUCACAUCUUUGAUGAGAUUAUUGAAACAAACCUUUUGAUUAUUAUUAGUGAUCUCAAAUAGGUCAUAAAACACAAAGUCAAAUCCUUGUCUUUCUGAUUUCUAACUUAAAUACCCUUUUAUCCAUAUAAGAAAUAUAAAUAUAACGUGUCAUGCAAAAUGCUAGCAUUCUCACAGUCUUUCUGCUUUGGGAUAACUUUCUGUCACUGAUGGUUCUUGUUUUGAAACGAUAUACUAUUGUUUUCUCUGUGUUGUCAGUAUUUGAGUACUUUGUCAUUUAUUUAUAGUUUUACUUUACAUUGUCAAAUGUCCUGAAUCGGCAUGAAAUAUCUGUCACUGAAUAUUAAGGAAACAGACAUGCAGAUAAAUUAUGAAAAAAAUUACCGAAGACAAAAAAAAGGAAUAACCAAGUUGGACAGUACAGUAGACAACAUCACAAUUGCGUACUUAUCAGUCGACAGAAGCUUACCACAGAUUUAUUGUCAGGUUUCUCGGAUUGGUAUAGGCUAUUCUAGACACACAAAAUGCAUGGCAAAAACAAGAAAUGUACGUGUGUGACUAUCCCUAUCACAUGUCUUUGUAAUCUGAAGAGCAAAGAUUAAUGUUCUGUCUUACUAUUUGGCAAACCAAAACACUAUAAUAGAUAGGCUGAAGUACCAAAUGUUAAGAACAAUGACCUGUUUCAAAAUAUUUACAAAAAGGAGUAGGUUCGAUAAGGUCCCAAAAUGACCCCUGAUUAAGCGUAAAUUUCAAUUUAGGAUUUAUUGACCAAUAUCACAAGAAAUUAACGCUAAUACAGGGACUAGAUAGGAAAUAACCAAUUGUGUUGAAAAUUAAUGUUCCUGCGUUUUAUGUUGACGUCACAAGUUGUACUCAUAUUGAUUUAACAUGAAAAAAUCAAUAAAAAGGGCUAAAUUUCCAUAGAUUAUUGGACAGGAAACAGAGCGCAGGUCUCGUUUAAGUUACAUGCUACUAAAUAUUUGUCUAAAAAUAGACGAAAAAAAUGACGCUUUAUACAUUUCUUGCAUCCGAAGCGCUUGCAGUAUUAACUGUCAUCAACAACACCCAAAGGGGAUCAUAUGUAUAAGAACCGACCGAAAUUGUGAAAAGCUACAUAUUCAAAACUAUCCUUAAAAAAAAUGUCAAUCUAUCAAACGACAAUUUUGCCUGAAGGAGUCGAACUCGAACAGUCUGAUAUCAAGAACGAAAGAAACAUUGUGUUGAUACAUUCGUUAUUUGCUAUGUUUAUUUUCAUUUUAACUAGUUAUUUUAAAUAUAUAUGCAUACAAUGCUAAAGACAAACAUAUAAAAUAUAAAUAUUUCAAAUAUCGAAUAAAAGUUUCGACUUAUAAAAUUGCUGAGUGGUCAGCAAAACAUUUGAAAGACAUUUUAUGAACAUGUUACCCUAAAAAACAUCGCUUUAUAUUUAAGACUUUUGAAUAAUAACAGGACACACAACAAAAAAAUGAGCAUAUUAUUUUUUAUAUUUUUUACCAGUGACCAAUGUCUACAAAUACAUCAUUGUGUGCUAUAUGUAAUCUACGACAUCUUACCACAUCGUCCACACACUGGUGUUCAGAAUGUGAGGAAUCACUUUGCGUUGACUGUAAAGAACAUCACAUUCUGUCGAAAGCUUCCCGGGGUCACCAGGUCAUCACUAUAUCAGAAUACAAUAGUUUACCUCCGUUCAUCGCCAAU
This 1756-nucleotide long non-coding RNA is filed under the name Mytilus galloprovincialis (Mediterranean mussel). The record is from RNAcentral. Lineage: Eukaryota; Metazoa; Mollusca; Bivalvia; Mytilida; Mytilidae.